Molecule: long non-coding RNA, 1760 nt
Filed under: Homo sapiens (human)
Lineage: Eukaryota; Metazoa; Chordata; Mammalia; Primates; Hominidae
Description: PREDICTED lncRNA (TCONS_00152952)
Source: RNAcentral
UUUUAGUAUUCAGAGAAUGACCUGAACUUAGCUGUGUUAAGUUGCCUGCUCCACAGGAAACCACCUCUGUAACUGUUGCUUGCUGCUUUCUCUUUAGGCAACACCCAAAGCCACUGUCAGAUGUCAUGGAGAUGAGACCUCACAAGCCUACUCAACGUGAAGAUGAUGAGAAUGAAGACCUUUAUGAUGAUCUGCUUCCACUUAAAGAAUAGCCCAUCAUGAUCUGAAGGCAGCGGUGGUUGCUGGUGGAGGAUGUGAGCUUUGGAACUGGAGCUCUUUGAUUCAAAGCUCUGCCGCUUACUCACUGGAUAAGACCAUGAUCAAGUUAUUUCAUCUGAAAAAUUGAGUUGACUGCAGGUAACUGAAACUGCGGAAAGUGAAACUGCAGAUAAGAGGGACCACUGUAAAUAAGUGACAUGAAUGAUACUGCAAAGGACCAUAGCCUAACCAGCCAAGCAAACUGGAAGUACCUUUAGACUCACGCUUUGCCAAGCUCAGUUCCAGAAUCACAUGAUGAAAAGAAUGAUGGAAAGAAAAUGUUUGUGAUAUUAAAAUUAAGGAAAUUACUCCAACUCAGAGUUUCAUCCUAAACUGAGAGACCAACAUCAAAAGAAUCUUCUCAAGUUUCUGAGUGACGGCAAGAAACUAGACUACUGUUACCAAGGAACUUUUUAAAGCAAACUGCUUUUGCUGAUAUGAGGAGAAAGUUAAUUAAUAAGAAAAUACCUUAAAUGUGUUUUGAAGCUGUUAAAGGUGUGUAACAAUUACUCUGAAUUUAUUAUAGCACCAGUUAGAGACCCAGGAAAACUAUAAAAUUGCACAUCAGGGCAGAGCUGAGAGACGACAUCUGCUUUGGGAUUGAAAAAAAAAAAAAAAAAAAAAAAAACAGAAAGGGAACAAGAGAAAUAGCAAGUCAUUUAACAUUUGGAAUUCAGGACUCCAGACUCAUCUAUAGGACCAAACUGCUCUUGAAAUAUACUAGAUUUCCUUUAGCUCCAGAGGUUUUGCCUUCAUCAAAUGCCUGUAACACUCUUAUUGUCAAAAGGAAUAAGUGAUGGUGAACACUGUGCCAGAUAGGAGGUACCACACACAGGUUCAGCAAAAAGCAGAAGCAAGAGGUAUAUUUUUUGUUAGAUCUUAGUUCAUCCCUAUGUAACAGACAUUUCAGGGAAGGGAGGAGAAAAUAACAAAGCUACCUAUGAGCAAAGGUAAAUGGGAUUCCCUAUCCUUGUUUCCCAGUUUCGGUCAUGGUAUUGCUUAUCCAUUAUUAGUUAUCCACUGCUGGGUAACAAAUUACUCCCAAACUUAGCAGCUUCAAACAACAAUAAACAUGUAUUAUGUCACAUAGUUUGUUUCAGAACUUUGGGAGUGGCUUAGCUGAAUGGUUGUAGCUCCAGGUGCUUUUUGUGGUUGCAGUCAAGAAGUCAGCCCAUUCACACAGCUGCAGACAAAAGGACUCGGUUCCUUGCAGGCUGAGGCCUGAUUAGGCAGGGGGCCUGAGUGUCUCGCCACAUGGACCUCUCCAUAGGGCUGCUUUUCGUGGCAUGGCAGCUGACUCCCCUCAGAACAGAUGAUCAAAAGCAGCAAAAGAGAAGCCUCACAUGACUUUUGCCCUAGCCUUGGGAAUCACACUCUUCCAUUUCUACAAAAUCCUAUUGGUUACAUAGCAGCCCUAUCCAGUGUGGGAGGGAACUGUAUACAGGCAUGAAUACCAGGAGUGGAAAACCACUAGAGACUGGCUACCAUGGUCACUUACACAC